This 73-nucleotide transfer RNA is filed under the name Canis lupus familiaris (dog). It matches the Rfam family "tRNA". Rfam says of the family: Transfer RNA (tRNA) molecules are approximately 80 nucleotides in length. Their secondary structure includes four short double-helical elements and three loops (D, anti-codon, and T loops). Further hydrogen bonds mediate the characteristic L-shaped molecular structure. tRNAs have two regions of fundamental functional importance: the anti-codon, which is responsible for specific mRNA codon recognition, and the 3' end, to which the tRNAs corresponding amino acid is attached (by aminoacyl-tRNA synthetases). tRNAs cope with the degeneracy of the genetic code in two manners: having more than one tRNA (with a specific anti-codon) for a particular amino acid; and 'wobble' base-pairing, i.e. permitting non-standard base-pairing at the 3rd anti-codon position. The record is from Rfam by way of RNAcentral. RNAcentral also lists the same sequence under 2 other names. Lineage: Eukaryota; Metazoa; Chordata; Mammalia; Carnivora; Canidae.
ACCUGGCUGGCUCAGUCAGUAGAGCAUGUGACUCUUGAUCUUGGGGUUAUGGGUUCGAGUCCCAUAUCAAGUG